RNAcentral lists this ribosomal RNA (602 nucleotides) under Enochrus (Methydrus) sp. IBE-AB87. Its description in RNAcentral is "partial large subunit ribosomal RNA". It matches the Rfam family "Bacterial large subunit ribosomal RNA", at positions 1853 to 2730 of the family's 2925-position model. The record is from RNAcentral. Lineage: Eukaryota; Metazoa; Arthropoda; Insecta; Coleoptera; Hydrophilidae.
UCAGGCCUGCCCAAUGAUGUAUUCAAUGGCUGCAGUAUUUUGACUGUACAAAGGUAGCAUAAUCAUUAGUUUUUUAAUUAAAAGCUAGAAUGAAUGGUUUAAUGAGAAAAAGACUGUCUUUAUUUAAUUUUUAAAAGAAUUUUAUUUUUGAGUUAAAAAGCUUAAAUUUUUUUAAAAGACGAGAAGACCCUAUAGAGUUUAAUAAUUAUUAAAUUUUUUAUGAUUAGGAAUUUUAUUAUUAAUUAAUUGAAAUAUUUAUUUUGUUGGGGUGAUAUAAAAAUUUAAUAAACUUUUUAUUAAUAUAAACAUAUUUAUAUGAGUAUUUGAUCCACUAUUUGUGAUUAUAAGAUUAAAUUACCUUAGGGAUAACAGCGUAAUUUUUUUGGAAAGUUCUUAUUAAUAAAAAAGUUUGCGACCUCGAUGUUGGAUUAAAAUUAACUGUUGGCGCAGUAGUUAACAAGUUAGGUCUGUUCGACCUUUAAAAUUUUACAUGAUCUGAGUUUAAACCGGUGUGAGCCAGGUUGGUUUCUAUCUUUAGAAAAUUAAAAUGUUUUAGUACGAAAGGACCAAACACUUAUAAUAUUUAUUUUUGUUGAAUAAAA